GACAGAGGGUGCAAACGUUGUUCGGAAUUACUGGGCGUAAAGCGUGCGCAGGCGGUUCGUGAUGUCUGAUGUGAAAGCCCCGGGCUCAACCUGGGAAUGGCAUUGGAAACUAGCGGGCUGGAGUGUGGCAGAGGGGGGUGGAAUUCCACGUGUAGCAGUGAAAUGCGUAGAGAUGUGGAGGAACACCGAUGGCGAAGGCAGCCCCCUGGGCUAACACUGACGCUCAUGCACGAAAGCGUGGGGAGCAAACAGG
RNAcentral lists this ribosomal RNA (253 nucleotides) under uncultured bacterium. Its description in RNAcentral is "partial 16S ribosomal RNA". It matches the Rfam family "Bacterial small subunit ribosomal RNA", at positions 524 to 776 of the family's 1533-position model. The record is from RNAcentral.